Molecule: ribosomal RNA, 153 nt
Filed under: uncultured bacterium
Lineage: Bacteria
Description: partial 16S ribosomal RNA
Rfam family: Bacterial small subunit ribosomal RNA
Source: RNAcentral
CGUUCUAAUGGCGGCAAGCCUGAACGAGCGAUGCCGCGUGAGUGAAGAAGGCCUUCGGGUCGUAAAGCUCUGUUGCGGGGGAAAAAAGGCAGCAUCAGGAAAUGGGUGCUGACUGAUGGUGCCCCGCCAGAAAGUCACGGCUAACUACGUGCC